CUGACCUCAAAUCAGGUA
This 18-nucleotide ribosomal RNA is filed under the name Ganoderma lucidum. RNAcentral describes it as "partial 28S ribosomal RNA". RNAcentral also lists the same sequence under 6 other names. Lineage: Eukaryota; Fungi; Basidiomycota; Agaricomycetes; Polyporales; Polyporaceae. The record is from RNAcentral.